RNAcentral lists this ribosomal RNA (482 nucleotides) under uncultured bacterium. RNAcentral describes it as "partial 16S ribosomal RNA". It matches the Rfam family "Bacterial small subunit ribosomal RNA", at positions 30 to 507 of the family's 1533-position model. The record is from RNAcentral.
AUUGAACGCUGGCGGCAUGCUUUACACAUGCAAGUCGAACGGUAACAGCACUUCGGUGGCUGACGAGUGGCGAACGGGUGAGUAAUACAUCGGAACGUGCCUAGUAGUGGGGGAUAACUACUCGAAAGAGUAGCUAAUACCGCAUGAGAUCUAAGGAUGAAAGCAGGGGACCUUCGGGCCUUGCGCUACUAGAGCGGCUGAUGGCAGAUUAGGUAGUUGGUGGGAUAAAAGCUUACCAAGCCGACGAUCUGUAGCUGGUCUGAGAGGACGACCAGCCACACUGGGACUGAGACACGGCCCAGACUACUACGGGAGGCAGCAGUGGGGAAUGUUGGACAAUGGGCGCAAGCCUGAUCCAGCAAUGCCGCGUGCAGGAUGAAGGCCUUCGGGUUGUAAACUGCUUUUGUACGGAACGAAAAGCCCUCUUCUAAUACAGGAGGGUCAUGACGGUACCGGAAGAAUAAGCACCGGCUAACUACGUG